Molecule: ribosomal RNA, 253 nt
Filed under: uncultured bacterium
Lineage: Bacteria
Description: partial 16S ribosomal RNA
Rfam family: Archaeal small subunit ribosomal RNA
Source: RNAcentral
UACCAGCACCCCGAGUGGUCGGGACGUUUAUUGGGCCUAAAGCAUCCGUAGCCGGUUCUACAAGUCUUCCGUUAAAUCCACCUGCUUAACAGAUGGGCUGCGGAAGAUACUAUAGAGCUAGGAGGCGGGAGAGGCAAGCGGUACUCGAUGGGUAGGGGUAAAAUCCGUUGAUCCAUUGAAGACCACCAGUGGCGAAGGCGGCUUGCCAGAACGCGCUCGACGGCGAGGGAUGAAAGCUGGGGAAGCAAACCGG